UACAGAGGCCCCAAGCAUUAUCCGGAUUUACUGGGCGUAAAGAGCUCAAAGGUGGUUGUGUAUGUCGAGCGUGAAAGACCGGAGCUUAACUCCGGAAACGUGCUCGAAACUGCACGGCUAGAGUCUGGGAAGGGCAAGCGGAAUUGUCGGUGUAGCGGUAGAAUGCGUUAAUAUCGACAAGAACACCAAUGGCGAAGGCAGCUUGCUGGAACAGUACUGACACUACAGAGCGAAAGCGUGGGUAGCGAACAGG
RNAcentral lists this ribosomal RNA (253 nucleotides) under uncultured bacterium. RNAcentral's name for it is "partial 16S ribosomal RNA". It matches the Rfam family "Bacterial small subunit ribosomal RNA", at positions 524 to 776 of the family's 1533-position model. The record is from RNAcentral.